GAUGAACGCUAGCGGCAGGCUUAACACAUGCAAGUCGAGGGGUAUAGUUCUUCGGAACUAGAGACCGGCGCACGGGUGCGUAACGCGUAUGCAAUCUACCUUUUACAGAGGGAUAGCCCAGAGAAAUUUGGAUUAAUACCUCAUAGUAUAACGACUCGGCAUCGAGAUGUUAUUAAAGUCACAACGGUGAAAGAUGAGCAUGCGUCCCAUUAGCUAGUUGGUAUGGUAACGGCAUACCAAGGCGACGAUGGGUAGGGGUCCUGAUAGGGAGAUCCCCCACACUGGUACUGAGACACGGACCAGACUCCUACGGGAGGCAGCAGUGAGGAAUAUUGGACAAUGGGCGCAAGCCUGAUCCAGCCAUGCCGCGUGCAGGAUGACGGUCCUAUGGAUUGUAAACUGCUUUUGCACAGGAAGAAACAACUCUACGUGUAGAGUCUUGACGGUACUGUGAGAAUAAGGAUCGGCUAACUCCGUGCCAGCAGCCGCGGUAAUACGGAGGAUCCAAGCGUUAUCCGGAAUCAUUGGGUUUAAAGGGUCCGUAGGCGGUCUUAUAAGUCAGUGGUGAAAUCUCCCCGCUCAACGGGGAAACGGCCAUUGAUACUGUAGGACUUGAAUUAUUUGGAAGUAACUAGAAUAUGUAGUGUAGCGGUGAAAUGCUUAGAGAUUACAUGGAAAUACCAAUUGCGAAAGGCAGGUUACUACUAAUGGAUUGACGCUGAUGGACGAAAGCGUGGGUAGCGAACAGGAUUAGAUACCCUGGUAGUCCACGCCGUAAACGAUGGAUACUAGCUGUUGGAAGCAAUUUCAGUGGCUAAGCGAAAGUGAUAAGUAUCC
Molecule: ribosomal RNA, 837 nt
Filed under: uncultured bacterium
Lineage: Bacteria
Description: bacterial SSU rRNA
Rfam family: Bacterial small subunit ribosomal RNA
Source: RNAcentral